CAUAAACUCCGAGCUUACUUAACCUACGUUUUGUAAAAAUAUGGUGGUAAUGCCAAUAGUACGCAGUUUGUAUUAUUCAGGGAUACGUUGGAAACGGCUUAUCCUCUCCGUUUUUUAGAAAGGUGUCAAAUGCA
This 134-nucleotide non-coding RNA is filed under the name Aggregatibacter aphrophilus. RNAcentral's name for it is "Moco (molybdenum cofactor) riboswitch". It matches the Rfam family "Molybdenum/Tungsten riboswitch aptamer (Moco RNA motif)", at positions 8 to 125 of the family's 135-position model. Lineage: Bacteria; Pseudomonadati; Pseudomonadota; Gammaproteobacteria; Pasteurellales; Pasteurellaceae. The record is from RNAcentral.